UGGGGAAUAUUGGACAAUGGGCGCAAGCCUGAUCCAGCCAUGCCGCGUGUGUGAAGAAGGCCUUUCGGUUGUAAAGCACUUUAAGCGAGGAGGAGGCUACUUGGAUUAAUACUCUAAGAUAGUGGACGUUACUCGCAGAAUAAGCACCGGCUAACUCUGUGCCAGCAGCCGCGGUAAUACAGAGGGUGCGAGCGUUAAUCGGAUUUACUGGGCGUAAAGCGUGCGUAGGCGGCUUCUUAAGUCGGAUGUGAAAUCCCUGAGCUUAACUUAGGAAUUGCAUUCGAUACUGGGAAGCUAGAGUAUGGGAGAGGAUGGUAGAAUUCCAGGUGUAGCGGUGAAAUGCGUAGAGAUCUGGAGGAAUACCGAUGGCGAAGGCAGCCAUCUGGCCUAAUACUGACGCUGAGGUACGAAAGCAUGGGGAGCAAACAGG
Molecule: ribosomal RNA, 430 nt
Filed under: bacterium
Lineage: Bacteria
Description: partial 16S ribosomal RNA
Rfam family: Bacterial small subunit ribosomal RNA
Source: RNAcentral